This is a long non-coding RNA of Mustela erminea (ermine), 437 nucleotides long. RefSeq lists it as uncharacterized. Lineage: Eukaryota; Metazoa; Chordata; Mammalia; Carnivora; Mustelidae. The record is from RefSeq and is a predicted model, not a curated record. The transcript has 3 exons.
UUUUGUCAUCUCGCAUCCUCACAGGAAGGGUUAAAAAUGCCUGCCUAUUCCCGAGCUCCCUGACAGGCCCCAAGACACCCCUUGCUUGAGUGCAGAGGUCCCCAUCCUAAAGACGCAGAGACAGCAGGUUAAGUAUCAGGAAAGUUAGAGUUGCUGGCUCUUGUUUCCAGAAAGCUCGUGGAGAGUCUCAGGGUCAGCAGUCUUUGCUGGUAGGCAGGAGCAGAGUGCUGGUGCCACAGUCUGUUCCUGUUCUCUGGGAGCGUAGUUGUUCCUUUUCACGAAUGGAACAUGAGGAACCCUAGGGGACAUGAGCUGCCCUGCCCUCCAUGGGACAGUUGUGAAAAAUGAAUCCCUUGGGGCCAAGACUUGGCCUCCAAACAAAGAAGAUAUUCAGAGGUUAAUCCGUGUUUUCCUUGGGGUUUCUUGAUCAAGGUCUC